UCUGAAAGGAUUACAUUAUGUACACUUGCAAUGGUCCAUAAUAAAAGAUAACAACAAUAUCCAUUCAAACAUACUGUAUACUAUAAAAAAGAAUUACAAGGUAACAGGUAUAGUACUGUAUCAUUAAAUAAUGGCAUGAUUAUGUAAAUAUGACAUUUCAUCACGUAGAAUAAACAACAAAAUUAACUGCAUGAUGCCAUCCCUUGAUGAAUAAUUACCUUUCUCAACACUUCUGUGAAAUAUUAAUAUUUUCCUUGAACACCUGUCAUAGCACUUUACAUGGUAAUAAAUAUAAAUUAGAUUUAAUCUCAACUAAGUACUGGUUAAGGCCAGGGUUUUUUGUUGGACUGUAAUUACAUCUGACAAAUUCAUCAAACUUUAUUUAAACAUUCUACCCUUCUGAACAGGCCUGGUUCAUCAAACAGAGAAGCCAUAAACACUGAAUUUACAUUCUACCCUUCUGAACAGGCCUGGUUCAUAAAACAGAAAAGCCAUAAACACUGAAUUAAAAAAGGGAGUAAACAAUUGAAAAUUGAUUUCGAGUUUAAUUUUGAUGUAAAAGUUCAGAAAUCUUCUUUGUUUAGAAGUAUAAAGCAGAAAAAGCAUCCACAUCUGGGUUGAUUGACCAUCCAUUUGACAAUUGAUACCCAAGUUAUAUGGCAACAUUUAUUUGAUAGUUUUAAUAAUGAGAUGAACCAAACCCUCUCAAUAUCUACCAAGGAUGUGGUAGUCAAAUGAAAACAUGACUAUGGUUAUUAUUGUUUUAUGACAGUCAGAAAAAAAAGAAGAUAAUGUCUCCAAAAGAGGUGGAUAGCUAUCUCAAAUGCUUGCAAAAGUUAGAAUAAGUCUUGAGAUUAAGUAAACCUUUCAAUCAUAAUUGUGGAUAAUUGAUAAAUAUUUUGACCUAAAAGUAAUGAUAACUGUUAAGAGAAUGUUCAACCUCUAAUCAUUUUACAUUAUAUAUAAAUUGCACUAUAAACACACAAUAUCACAGAACAUAUUUCAUUUAAUGAAAACAUUUAAUGUAUUCUCUCAAUCACACAAUUCUUUCAACAAUGUUUACAAUUGAUCAAUUCCACACACACUUUCUUUCAUCUAUACUUUGUUUAACAAAGCAACUAGUGUUUUAGAUAUUGGUUUAACUUAUGUCAUCCUGAACAUGCAUGAAAUAUUUGCCACUGGACGUUAAGCAACCAUCAAUCAAUCAAUGAUACAUACACAAAACAACUGACCAAUCACUCUUAAUUUUUUUUAAAAUCUACAAACUUACAACAAAUUGGAAAUAUAACAAUAUCUAAUAUCAUUUAAAUUAGCAUCUCAAUCAGUGUAUUAACAAACACACUAAAGAAUUUAUCGGACAUGCAAGGGUGCAUAUCAAAUUCAGUGAUGAAAUCCUGUUAAAAAUAUGCACAAUUUUUCUUGACCGAGUGGAGAAAAAAGAGGUAGAAGAAUGAACAGCUGCGCCAUAAGCGCAUGAUACACCCAACGUCUUGUGUGGAAGUUUUAUGCAAGAAUCAUAAAUAGUUUCUGAGAAAGUUUUAAGCAAUAACCAUUUAUUGUUUUUGAGACACGGUGGGACAUGUGAAACCCCC
Molecule: long non-coding RNA, 1592 nt
Filed under: Mytilus galloprovincialis (Mediterranean mussel)
Lineage: Eukaryota; Metazoa; Mollusca; Bivalvia; Mytilida; Mytilidae
Source: RNAcentral